GAUCCUGGCUCAGGAUGAACGCUAGCGGCAGGCCUAACACAUGCAAGUCGAGGGGCAGCACGGUGUAGCAAUACACUGGUGGCGACCGGCGCACGGGUGCGUAACGCGUAUGCAACCUACCCAUAACCAGGGGGGAUAACACGUGAGAAAUUGGUACUAAUACCCCAUAACAUCAGGACCGGCAUCGGUUCUGGUUGAAAACUCCGGUGGUUAUGGAUGGGCAUGCGGUUGUAUUAGCUGGUUGGUG
RNAcentral lists this ribosomal RNA (247 nucleotides) under uncultured bacterium. Its description in RNAcentral is "partial 16S ribosomal RNA". It matches the Rfam family "Bacterial small subunit ribosomal RNA", at positions 15 to 254 of the family's 1533-position model. The record is from RNAcentral.